RNAcentral lists this ribosomal RNA (268 nucleotides) under uncultured bacterium. Its description in RNAcentral is "partial 16S ribosomal RNA". It matches the Rfam family "Bacterial small subunit ribosomal RNA", at positions 29 to 282 of the family's 1533-position model. The record is from RNAcentral.
AACGAACGCUGGCGGCGUGCCUAACACAUGCAAGUCGAGCGAGAAAGGGGAGCAAUCCCUGAGUACAGCGGCAGACGGGUGAGUAACACGUGGGUAAUCUACCCUCGAGCGGGGAAUAACAUCUCGAAGAGGUGCUAAUACCGCAUAAACAUCCAUGGACCUGCGGGUUCGUGGAUCAAAGGUGGGGAUCUUCGGACUACCACUUGAGGAGGAGCCCGCGCCUGAUUAGCUAGUUGGUGGGGUAACGGCCUACCAAGGCGACGACUCA